AUCAGUUUAGUUUAUAAAAACACCAAUUUGUGAAACUGGAGAUAGAAACUAAGACUUCUAGCUAAUC
RNAcentral lists this transfer RNA (67 nucleotides) under Ophioceres incipiens. Its description in RNAcentral is "tRNA-His". Lineage: Eukaryota; Metazoa; Echinodermata; Ophiuroidea; Amphilepidida; Ophiolepididae. The record is from RNAcentral.